Molecule: ribosomal RNA, 778 nt
Filed under: uncultured Neocallimastigales
Lineage: Eukaryota; Fungi; Neocallimastigomycota; Neocallimastigomycetes; Neocallimastigales
Description: partial large subunit ribosomal RNA
Rfam family: Eukaryotic large subunit ribosomal RNA
Source: RNAcentral
AUAGAGACUCAGAGCUGCAUAUCAAUAAGCGGAGGAAAAGAAACUAACAAGGAUUCCCUUAGUAACGGCGAGUGAAGCGGGAAGAGCUCAAAUUUGAAAUCUUCAAGGUUCUACCUUGACGAAUUGUAGUUUAAAGAAGUGUUUUCUGUUAGUGGAGUUCGGUAAAAGUUCUUUGGAAUACGGACAUCAUAGAGGGUGAGAAUCCCGUAUUUGACCAUUACUUUCCAGCUUUGUGAUACACUUUCAAAGAGUCGGAUUGUUUGGGAAUGCAGUCCAAGAUGGGUGGUAAAUUUCAUCUAAAGCUAAAUAUUGGCGAGAGACCGAUAGCGAACAAGUACCGUGAGGGAAAGAUGAAAAGAACUUUGAAAAGAGAGUUAAACAGUACGUGAAAUUGUCAAAAGGGAAGCGUUUGACACCAGUGUUGUUUAGUUGAAAAUCAAUUCAAUAGUUUUUGAUUCUAAGUAGUAUUGACUUCAUCAGCUUGCUGCUUUCUUCUCAGAAAUUAUUGAAUGCACUUUUCAGUUAACAAGUCAACAUCAAUUUCAUUUGUUGUAAAAGGGUAAGAGGAAGGUGGCUUGCGCUUCGGCUCAAGUGUUUAUAGCCUUUUAUCUCUGCAAUCGGAGAGAUUGAGGUCUGCAGCGUAGAUCCUUCGGGGUUAGAUACAUUGGUGCUAAGCUAUAGCCUUGUAUAGACAACUUGUUGACUAUGCUCAGUCAUGUAGCUUACUCGCCGAUGCUAUUUUACCUACGCUUAGGAUGUUGACGAGACUGUCGAUCUC